AACACAUGCAAGUCGAGGGGCGAGCACGGGAGUAGCAAUACAACUGGUGGCGACCGGCGCACGGGUGAGUAACGCGUAUGCAACCUACCUAUCAGAGGGGAAUAACCCGGCGAAAGUCGGACUAAUACCGCAUAAAACAGGGGCACCGCAUGGUGAUAUUUGUUAAAGAAAUUCGCUGAUAGAUGGGCAUGCGUUCCAUUAGGUAGUUGGUGAGGUAACGGCUCACCAAGCCGACGAUGGAUAGGGGAACUGAGAGGUUGGUCCCCCACACUGGUACUGAGACACGGACCAGACUCCUACGGGAGGCAGCAGUGAGGAAUAUUGGUCAAUGGGCGAGAGCCUGAACCAGCCAAGUCGCGUGAAGGAAGAAGGAUCUAUGGUUCGUAAACUUCUUUUGCAGGGGAAUAAAGUGCGGGACGUGUCCUGUUUUGUAUGUACCCUGAGAAUAAGGAUCGGCUAACUCCGUGCCAGCCGCCGC
This 478-nucleotide ribosomal RNA is filed under the name uncultured bacterium. RNAcentral describes it as "bacterial SSU rRNA". It matches the Rfam family "Bacterial small subunit ribosomal RNA", at positions 50 to 518 of the family's 1533-position model. The record is from RNAcentral.